Molecule: ribosomal RNA, 386 nt
Filed under: uncultured bacterium
Lineage: Bacteria
Description: bacterial SSU rRNA
Rfam family: Bacterial small subunit ribosomal RNA
Source: RNAcentral
GACGAACGCUGGCGGCGUGCUUAACACAUGCAAGUCGAGCGGUAAGGCCCUUCGGGGUACACGAGCGGCGAACGGGUGAGUAACACGUGGGUGACCUGCCCUUAGCUCUGGGAUAAGCCUGGGGAAACUGGGUCUAAUACCGGAUAUGACCUCAUGACGCAUGUUGUGGGGUGAAAGCCUUGUGCGGCUAGGGAUGGGCCCGCGGCCUAUCAGCUUGUUGGUGGGGUGAUGGCCACCAAGGCGACGACGGGUAGCCGGCCUGAGAGGGCGACCGGCCACACUGGGACUGAGACACGGCCCAGACUCCUACGGGAGGCAGCAGUGGGGAAUCUUGCGCAAUGGGCGAAAGCCUGACGCAGCGACGCCGCGUGAGGGAUGACGGCCUC